Molecule: long non-coding RNA, 409 nt
Filed under: Mytilus galloprovincialis (Mediterranean mussel)
Lineage: Eukaryota; Metazoa; Mollusca; Bivalvia; Mytilida; Mytilidae
Source: RNAcentral
GCCGGCGUACAUCGGACCUAUGAAAUACAUAACGUGCUGUUUUCAGUUUUCACAGCACUGAGUCGAUAUCUCUGCUAGUGGACAAAGGUUUCUAUCAGAUCUGUUGUCAUUUCGACGAUACUGGUAGUGAAAUUUGGCUUAAAUUAUUGUGCUAUUUUUAGAUACUAUUAUUGUGCAAUUUUUAGAUACUUUUUUUAAAUUAAAAUUUCGGUCCUCAUACAUCCAUGGCUUUCAAAAAGUCGACUUUGAGCGUUCCUGAAGGUAAAUCCAGAAAAACGCUUCGGACGCAUGCCAUUGAUGGUGUAUUGGUUUUAUUUUUUUUUACUAAAAUAUUCUUGCAGACAUUAACUUAUGAACGGAGAAAAAGUUGAGGUUUGUUCAUAUAGACUGUAAAGUUCAUCAAUCUGAA